GAUGAACGCUGGCAGCAGGCCUAACACAUGCAAGUCGAGCGGAAGUUGGGUUUUUAACUUCGGAUUGGGUGGCGGACGGGUGAGUAACGCGUAAAGAACUGGCCUCACAGCUAGGGACAACAUCUGGAAACGAAUGCUAAUACCUAAUAUUAUGAUAAUAGUACAUCCUAUAAUUAUGAACGCAAUAAUCGCUGUGAGAGAUCUUUGCGUCCCAUUAGCUAGUUGGAGAGGUAACGGCUCACCAAGGCGAUGAUGGGUAGCCGGCCUGAGAGGGUGAUCGGCCACAAGCGCACUGAGACACAGCCCUUACAGAUACUGGAGGCAGGAGGGGGGACUAAUGGACAAUGGACCGAGUGUGUGAUGAAGGAAUUCUGUGUGGAAGAUGAUGUUAGUCGGAAUGUAGAGUGGUUUGAUUAGGGAAGAAAAUAAUGACGGUACCAACAGAAGAAGCGCCGGCUAACUACGUG
Molecule: ribosomal RNA, 467 nt
Filed under: uncultured bacterium
Lineage: Bacteria
Description: partial 16S ribosomal RNA
Rfam family: Bacterial small subunit ribosomal RNA
Source: RNAcentral